This 72-nucleotide transfer RNA is filed under the name Ictidomys tridecemlineatus (thirteen-lined ground squirrel). RNAcentral describes it as "Spermophilus tridecemlineatus (thirteen-lined ground squirrel) tRNA". It matches the Rfam family "tRNA". Rfam says of the family: Transfer RNA (tRNA) molecules are approximately 80 nucleotides in length. Their secondary structure includes four short double-helical elements and three loops (D, anti-codon, and T loops). Lineage: Eukaryota; Metazoa; Chordata; Mammalia; Rodentia; Sciuridae. The record is from Rfam by way of RNAcentral.
GAGGGUGUAGCUCAGUGGUAGAGCGCUUGAUUAGCAUGUGUAAGACCCUGGGUUCAAUUCUUGGUACCAUUA